This 317-nucleotide ribosomal RNA is filed under the name uncultured Glomeromycotina. Its description in RNAcentral is "eukaryotic LSU rRNA". Lineage: Eukaryota; Fungi; Glomeromycota. The record is from RNAcentral.
UUGAAAGGGAAACGAUUGAAGUCAGUCGUACCUGCGGGUAAUCAGCCUUUUGGGUGUGAUUAUGUGGAGCGUGAGGAGCUAAACACCCUCAUCUUUGCAUAUUCGUGCACUUUGGGUGUACUUGCUCGUGUGGUAGGUUAACAUCAAUUUUGAUCGUCAUAAAAUGACUGGAGGAAUGUGGCUUCGAUCUCGUAUUGAAGUGUUAUAGCCUUUGGUAGAUGUGAUGAUUAGGAUUGAGGAUUGCAACGGAUACCCUUUUGGGCUACCUGUCUGACCUCUGAAAGUUGCUCUGGUGCUGAAAGCUUGCUUAUGGUAUC